RNAcentral lists this unclassified non-coding RNA (603 nucleotides) under Hevea brasiliensis (rubber tree). Lineage: Eukaryota; Viridiplantae; Streptophyta; Magnoliopsida; Malpighiales; Euphorbiaceae. The record is from RNAcentral.
GGGUAUUUCAACAGAAGUAGCUUCAACAGUGAGUUUGAAUUGAUGAAGAGGAAUAAGAUCCUAAUUGCAGCAUGUAAGUAUAUAUAUGUAUAGUAAUUAGUAGUAGCAUUUGAUAUUCUUUUAAGAUGAAAGGUGAAGGCUCAUAUUAUUAUAGUGGAAAUUGACUUUAAUUAGAAGGCAACAUCAAUGAUCAAAAGGCUUAAGUUUAAGGGACCUUUAAUCUAUCAAUUAUUAUCAAAAGAAAGGUCUGUCUGGUUGAAAUUGCCCUCAUAUUUGCAAUAAUGACAUGCUUGCUUUUGCUAUGUAGUGGGAAAUGAUAGUCAACUUUCUUUGCCACAUUUAUAUCAUUACUUCUUCUCAAAUUUGGUGAAUAGAAAAUUGAAAAUCUACUGCUAGAUUAUAUAUCUAUGUGGGUUGGUGAAGGAGAAGGAUCUUAUUUUUAGAGCAUUGUCUUCCAAAAUGGAGUGAUUGAUGAGGAACUUGUGCUGUAAAGCUCUGACUAGAGCAUGCAUAUACUACAGAUUUUGAUUAAGCUUGUCUAAUCAGUUCUACAGAAAGGAGAACGUACAAGAAAUCCCAAUACAGAUUACAGGCACUCCAAAU